Molecule: ribosomal RNA, 252 nt
Filed under: uncultured bacterium
Lineage: Bacteria
Description: partial 16S ribosomal RNA
Rfam family: Bacterial small subunit ribosomal RNA
Source: RNAcentral
UACGAAGGGGGCUAGCGUUGUUCGGAAUUACUGGGCGUAAAGCGCACGUAGGCGGACAUUUAAGUCAGGGGUGAAAUCCCGGGGCUCAACCCCGGAACGGCCUUUGAUACUGGGUGUCUUGAGUUCGGAAGAGGUGAGUGGAAUUGCGAGUGUAGAGGUGAAAUUCGUAGAUAUUCGCAGGAACACCAGUGGCGAAGGCGGCUCACUGGUCCGAUACUGACGCUGAGGUGCGAAAGCGUGGGGAGCAACAGG